This 79-nucleotide transfer RNA is filed under the name Acidobacterium capsulatum ATCC 51196. RNAcentral describes it as "tRNA-Asp". It matches the Rfam family "tRNA". Rfam says of the family: Transfer RNA (tRNA) molecules are approximately 80 nucleotides in length. Their secondary structure includes four short double-helical elements and three loops (D, anti-codon, and T loops). The record is from RNAcentral. Lineage: Bacteria; Pseudomonadati; Acidobacteriota; Terriglobia; Terriglobales; Acidobacteriaceae.
UGGGGACGUAGUUCAGUUGGUUAGAAUGCUGCCCUGUCACGGCAGAGGUCGCGGGUUCGAGCCCCGUCGUCCCCGCCAU